Molecule: transfer RNA, 83 nt
Filed under: Hippoglossus stenolepis (Pacific halibut)
Lineage: Eukaryota; Metazoa; Chordata; Actinopteri; Pleuronectiformes; Pleuronectidae
Description: tRNA-Leu
Rfam family: tRNA
About the family: Transfer RNA (tRNA) molecules are approximately 80 nucleotides in length.
Source: RNAcentral
UGCUGAAUGGCCGAGCGGUCUAAGGCGCUGCGUUCAGGUCGCAGUCUCCAUUGGAGGCGUGGGUUCAAAUCCACUUCUGACAG